UACGUAGGGGGCAAGCGUUGUCCGGAAUUAUUGGGCGUAAAGAGCGCGUAGGCGGUCCGAUAAGUCGGCUGUGAAAGUCUAGGGCUCAACCCUGGAAAGCCGGCCGAUACUGUCGGACUAGAGUCCGGAAGAGGCGAGUGGAAUUCCCAGUGUAGCGGUGAAAUGCGUAGAUAUUGGGAAGAACACCUGAGGCGAAGGCGGGUUGCUGGGCUGACACUGACGCUGAGGCGCGAAAGCCAGGGGAGCGAACGGG
This 253-nucleotide ribosomal RNA is filed under the name uncultured bacterium. RNAcentral describes it as "partial 16S ribosomal RNA". It matches the Rfam family "Bacterial small subunit ribosomal RNA", at positions 524 to 776 of the family's 1533-position model. The record is from RNAcentral.